Molecule: ribosomal RNA, 253 nt
Filed under: uncultured bacterium
Lineage: Bacteria
Description: partial 16S ribosomal RNA
Rfam family: Bacterial small subunit ribosomal RNA
Source: RNAcentral
UACGAACCGUGCGAACGUUGUUCGGAAUCACUGGGCUUAAAGGGCGCGUAGGCGGGUUCGCAAGUCUGUGGUGAAAGCCCCCAGCUUAACUGGGGAAGUGCCGUGGAUACUGCGAAUCUUGAGGAGGGUAGGGGCGUCUGGAACGGUCGGUGGAGCGGUGAAAUGCGUUGAUAUCGACCGGAACUCCGGUGGCGAAGGCGAGGCGCUGGACCCUUUCUGACGCUGAGGCGCGAAAGCCAGGGGAGCAAACGGG